GACGAACGCUGGCGGCGUGCUUAACACAUGCAAGUCGAACGGAAAGGCCUGCUUUCCCUUGUGGAUUGCGGGUACUCGAGUGGCGAACGGGUGAGUAACACGUGAGUGAUCUGCCCCCAACUUGGGUAUAAGCCUGGGAAACUGGGUCUAAUUCCCGAUAGGACUGCAGGGUGGUGCCUGUGGUGGAAAACGAUUUUCUAGUGGUUGGGGAUGAGCUCGCGGCCUAUCAGCUUGUUGGUGGGGUAAUGGCCUACCAAGGCGGCAACGGGUAGCCGGCCUGGGAGGGUGGACGGCCACAUUGGGACUGAGAUACGGCCCAGACCCCUACGGGAGGCAGCAGUGGGGAAUAUUGCACAAUGGGCGGAAGCCUGAUGCAGCGACGCCGCGUGGGGGAUGACGGCCUUCGGGUUGUAAACUCCUUUCGACCGCGAGGAAGCCACCUGGUUGGAAGGGUGGUGACGGUAGUGGUAGAAGAAGCACCGGCUAACUACGUG
Molecule: ribosomal RNA, 494 nt
Filed under: uncultured bacterium
Lineage: Bacteria
Description: partial 16S ribosomal RNA
Rfam family: Bacterial small subunit ribosomal RNA
Source: RNAcentral